UAAAAUUCAAAUUUGAAAUUCAAAAUUUGUACUAGAUUGUAUAAUUCCACCCCAAUAUUAUCCUUUUUUCCACUUGGAUUUCAAAAUUUUACUAGAUUGUACAAUUCUCCCUCAAUCUUAUUCUUUUUUCAUUUUUGAAAUUCAAAAUUUGUACUAGAUUGUACAAUUUCACCUCACGUUAUCAUCCAACAAACUUGUUCCUCAAUUUCAAAUUCCCAAAAACACCCAUAAAUUCUUUCUCUCACAUUGGUAGAUGAAAAGAAUUGAAUCCUCAUCAUUUCCUAUAAAUAAUACUACUAUUUUGGUAGAAAGACUAAGUCUCAAAGAGUGAAAUUUAUUUUUGAGAAAAUAGUUCAAUUUUAUUUUUUAGUAAAAAUUUUCAAUUAGUAGUCUAGUUGGUGUUCUCGAAGAAUACUUUCCGAUAGUGAUCAAGACUCUGAAGAAAGUUUGAAGUCCCGUUUUGCUGUCCCAAAAAGGUAGACACACCUUUCCCUUUUUAGUUUUAUUAUCGUUUUCUUCUUCAUCUUCUUCUUCGUAGUUCGUAGUUGUAAUUUAGUUUGCUGAAAUUGUUUGCUGUAGACGGUCUUGAAGGCCAUAGAAUGUUAUGGUAUCGAUAUUAUAGCUAUUUUCAUUUUCAUAGUAUAAAAAUGAGCUAACAAUAGUUGAACAUGUUUCUUUGGCUUUAUUCUUUGAUUAUUAUGGAUAAAGUUUUGAUCUUUGCUUAAAAGACCUGCUUUGUUUAAAUUCAUUAUUGGCGGAUAUAUAUUUAUUUUUAGCAUGUAAAGUUAUUUUGUUUAUGCCGAAAAGAAUAUUUACUAUUGUUUGUUUUGCCUUAAUAAAAUAGUAAUUGGUUAAGUCAAAAACUUGUCAUUUGCUUGCUAAUUAUUUUAAUGAAUAUCAAAAUUCUCAUAUGAGAGAUAAAGUGUUAGCUUUAUUUUCCAUCCAAGAUGUUUAUUCUUUUUUUUUUUCGCAUGUUGUUUUGUCAAAAUGAUGAGAAGUUCAGAUUUUUGUGGCUAAAUAGAAUUAUUUAGAUAUUUUCGAGUCAUGCACAGUAUGAUUGUUGAAUGAUAUUUCACUUUUAGAGAUGCUAAACUUUUAUUCUAAUUUUCUUACUCCCUUUGGAUUGUAAUAUGUGCUCUUUGUGUGUAUAAAGACUUGAUUCGUGUCUCUCUUUGAUUCAUAAUAUCAAAAGAGAAUCAAGGAUGUCUUAGAAAGAUAAACUAUAGGUCGUUACAUGUUUUUCCUAAAGUUGGCCAUAAGUUAGAUGUAUGAAUCAUCGUUAUUGUCGUCUUAGUUAGAGUUUAAAGAUUUCCUUUCUUAAAAGUUAGCCUCCACCUUCUUUUUUGUUAUAUGGGUUAAUUUCUUUUUCGUUGGAUGAUUUGAUUUGUUUUAAUAUCAUAGUUUACUAUUUCUUUAUGUAUGAGAAUGCUAUUUUUCCAUUUCAUCAUUUAUCUAAGCACGUAUUAAUUCCCAUAUCUUUUACUUUGCAUGAAUCUACUUUGGAGUCCAAAUGGACUCCUUUCCCCCUUGCAUGUCGUAAUGGUCCAAUGAGGCCAACCUCUUCGAAGAUUAAGUCCAAAAGUCGAUUAUAUGGCGUGCGGGUGCAAGAAGAUAGACAAAGAAGAAAAAUAGGUUAAAACCCAUUGAUGAGGUCGCUAAGAGAUUUGAAAGGUCUUAAUUUUUAUUAUUGUUUUAUUCUUUAUUUAUUUAUUUGUUUAUUUAUUUGUUUAUCUAUUUGAUCAUUCAUUUGGGCCUCGAAGCAAAAGUUGUAAAUUAAUACAGGUGAAGCAGGUUGUCGGCCAAAAGCCAAAAGAUCUAAAUUAGUACACGUGAAGAUGGGCUAAAAGCCCAAAUGAAUAGUUUAGGAUAGGUGCAGGUGGGCCAAAACCCCAAUUAGAUUAGGACAGGGAUUUGGGCUUACGAGCCUAAGUCUUAUAAUUCUCUCCUUUCCCUUUUCAUGCUAUUUGAUAGUAGCUUUCUUAGAAAUAGUUAAAUUCCCCACUAAGUUGCCCAAAAAUUGAUUUUGUGUAAAUGUUUUCUUGAUUAAUUUCUUUUCAAAAACCAACUUCUUUUCUCUAAGUUAUUCAAAGAAUCAUUUUCAAAUAGUCCGGAUAACCGCAAGUUAGCGGAUACUCUUGAUGCCUUAACAACCUUUCAAGAGUAUUAAUAGAAAUCGCUUACUCAGAAUCUUCAAACUUAAAUGAUUUUUCUAUUUUGGAUCGUUUAGGUAAUUUCAAAGGUUUCCUUGAUUUUCCUAAAUAAAUUCAGUGACGACUCUAUUUUCGAGUUUAAAAACUUUUUUCGAAAGUAUUUGAACUUGUGAAAAACACCAAAAAGUCAUUUCUUUGCAAAACAGUUUCUUGUCAAGAUUAGUUCUCUACGCCGUGCUAUGCAUGAACCAAUAUUGAUCCUUAAAAAUUGGAUGUUAUGUAUAAUUCUAUCAUUUAAUUAAAAUCUUUAUUUAUUUGGUUGAUUAAUUCUAAGUUAGGCAUAUAUUAUUAUAUUUAGAUUGAUGAAACUUGUAUAACUAUAUUUUAAGUUGUUCAAACUUUUGUGACAUUGAUAGUCAAUUAUAUUUUUUCAUAAUUUAAAUUUUUAAUUAUUGUGAUUUAUAAUAAUUUUUCUUCUAUUCUACUAAUUAGAAGUGACAUAGUAAAAUUAUUAUAAAAAAUAUUUGUAAUUUUUUUUAAGUGUUCCCAUAUAAGACAUCAUG
Molecule: long non-coding RNA, 2713 nt
Filed under: Capsicum annuum
Lineage: Eukaryota; Viridiplantae; Streptophyta; Magnoliopsida; Solanales; Solanaceae
Description: long non-coding RNA (CANN_LNC002012)
Source: RNAcentral